This 73-nucleotide transfer RNA is filed under the name Mespilia globulus. RNAcentral describes it as "tRNA-Leu". It matches the Rfam family "tRNA". From Rfam's summary of the family: Transfer RNA (tRNA) molecules are approximately 80 nucleotides in length. Their secondary structure includes four short double-helical elements and three loops (D, anti-codon, and T loops). Further hydrogen bonds mediate the characteristic L-shaped molecular structure. tRNAs have two regions of fundamental functional importance: the anti-codon, which is responsible for specific mRNA codon recognition, and the 3' end, to which the tRNAs corresponding amino acid is attached (by aminoacyl-tRNA synthetases). tRNAs cope with the degeneracy of the genetic code in two manners: having more than one tRNA (with a specific anti-codon) for a particular amino acid; and 'wobble' base-pairing, i.e. permitting non-standard base-pairing at the 3rd anti-codon position. Lineage: Eukaryota; Metazoa; Echinodermata; Echinoidea; Temnopleuroida; Temnopleuridae. The record is from RNAcentral.
GCAAGAAUAGCAAAGAGGCUAAUGCAGAAGGCCUAAGACCUUCCUAUCAAAGGUUCAAAUCCUUUUUCUUGCU